RNAcentral lists this ribosomal RNA (501 nucleotides) under uncultured Russula. Its description in RNAcentral is "eukaryotic LSU rRNA". The stretch from base 132 to 285 matches the Rfam family "5.8S ribosomal RNA". Lineage: Eukaryota; Fungi; Basidiomycota; Agaricomycetes; Russulales; Russulaceae. The record is from RNAcentral.
AGCGUUCUCAUGUACAAUCCACCUCACCUCUUGUGCACCACCGCGUGGGCCCUUGAAAAGGCUUGCGUUUUUCACACAAACAUACUUAUAGUUUAGAAUGUCAUUCAUUUGCGAUCACACGCAAUCAAUACAACUUUCAACAAUGGAUCUCUUGGCUCUCGCAUCGAUGAAGAACGCAGCGAAAUGCGAUACGUAAUGUGAAUUGCAGAAUUCAGUGAAUCAUCGAAUCUUUGAACGCACCUUGCGCCCCUUGGCAUUCCGAGGGGCACACCCGUUUGAGUGUCGUGAAAUUCUCAAACCUUCUUGGUUUCUUGACCAAGUUGGCUUUGGACUUUGGAGGUUGCUGGCUUUGCAAAAAGCCAGCUCCUCUUAAAUACAUUAGUAGGGUCUCCUUUGCCGAUCCCCAGGCGUGAUAAGUCGCUUCUACGUCUUGGGAUUUGCUCUGUUCCUUGAGAACCUGCUUCCAACCGUCUCAUUAAAGACAUCGUUCGAGCUUGCUCG